GGGGAUUUAGCUCAGUGGUAGAGCCCUUGCCUAGCAAGCACAAGGCCCUGGGUUCGGUCCCCAGCUCCG
Rattus norvegicus (Norway rat) is the source of this 69-nucleotide non-coding RNA. NCBI's taxonomy places the organism in Eukaryota, Metazoa, Chordata, Mammalia, Rodentia, Muridae. The record is from Rfam.